RNAcentral lists this ribosomal RNA (165 nucleotides) under uncultured bacterium. Its description in RNAcentral is "partial 16S ribosomal RNA". It matches the Rfam family "Bacterial small subunit ribosomal RNA", at positions 355 to 511 of the family's 1533-position model. The record is from RNAcentral.
UAGGGAAUCUUCCACAAUGGACGCAAGUCUGAUGGAGCAACGCCGCGUGAGUGAAGAAGGGUUUCGGCUCGUAAAAGCUCUGUUGUUAAAGAAGAACACGUAUGAGAGUAACUGUUCAUACGUUGACGGUAUUUAACCAGAAAGUCACGGCUAACUACGUCCCAG